UAUAUAUAUAUUCCAUUAAUUCAUCGAUAUAUCGUAAUUUACUAAUUUGACAACAAUUGGAUUGGAUCAAAGAAGCUAGCUAGAUCGAUGGGUGUGAAGAAAUUAACCAACUGUAGCAUGAUGGCUGUCUGGGCUCUAUGGUUGGUGGUAGCAGUUAUCAUCAUCAUCUUGAGCAUGCACAGUUACGGUGGAGAGGCCAGGCCUUUGGAUGGAACGAAGCAAGGCUUAAGCUUGUCGUCGUCCAACUAUAACUAUUUUUUGCAAAUGCUUCCCAAAGGAGGUUCAACCUCAGGACCGUCGGGUUGCACCUAUGGUUCGGCCAGAAAUGGUCGACCUUGUUAAUUUCUACCUAUUUAAAUUAUCACAUGCAUAUCCUGGUUCCUGGACGAGACCAAAAUAUGUCUCCAAAUUAAGUUCAAAUUCAAUUCGUUUAAUUGUUGGUGAUCACUGAUAAACUUUGUUCAUUUUUAAAUUUCAUUAAUUAACUCAUCAAUAUUCAAUAAUUUUCGUUAAA
This 514-nucleotide long non-coding RNA is filed under the name Zostera marina. RNAcentral's name for it is "long non-coding RNA (ZMAR_LNC003785)". Lineage: Eukaryota; Viridiplantae; Streptophyta; Magnoliopsida; Alismatales; Zosteraceae. The record is from RNAcentral.